This 253-nucleotide ribosomal RNA is filed under the name uncultured bacterium. Its description in RNAcentral is "partial 16S ribosomal RNA". It matches the Rfam family "Bacterial small subunit ribosomal RNA", at positions 524 to 776 of the family's 1533-position model. The record is from RNAcentral.
UACGUAGGGUGCAAGCGUUAAUCGGAAUUACUGGGCGUAAAGCGUGCGCAGGCGGUUCUAUAAGACAGAUGUGAAAUCCCCGGGCUCAACCUGGGAACUGCAUUUGUGACUGUAGAGCUGGAGUACGGUAGGGGGGGAUGGAAUUCCGCGUGUAGCAGUGAAAUGCGUAGAUAUGCGGAGGAACACCGAUGGCGAAGGCAAUCCCCUGGACCUGUACUGACGCUCAUGCACGAAAGCGUGGGGAGCAAACAGG